Molecule: non-coding RNA, 24 nt
Filed under: Cricetulus griseus (Chinese hamster)
Lineage: Eukaryota; Metazoa; Chordata; Mammalia; Rodentia; Cricetidae
Source: RNAcentral
AGGUGAUCUCGGCCUAUGUGGCGU